GGGCCUGUAGUCUAGCGGCUACACUUCGGUGCCGUAAAUGACGUCGCCUUCACACGGCGGAGGUCCCCGGUUCAAGUCCGGGCGGGCCCA
This 90-nucleotide transfer RNA is filed under the name Candidatus Woesearchaeota archaeon. RNAcentral describes it as "tRNA-Val". It matches the Rfam family "tRNA". Rfam says of the family: Transfer RNA (tRNA) molecules are approximately 80 nucleotides in length. Lineage: Archaea; Nanobdellati; Candidatus Woesearchaeota. RNAcentral also lists the same sequence under 1 other name. The record is from RNAcentral.